AUCAAAAUUACCUCGAGGACUAAUUAAAAUGCAGAUUUGGCUCCACCCUCAGAGUUUCUGAUUUAGUAGAUCUGGAGGGGGCAGGAGAAUCUGCAUUUUUAGUAAGUACCUAGGUGAUGUUCUA
This 124-nucleotide microRNA precursor is filed under the name Marmota monax (woodchuck). The record is from RNAcentral. Lineage: Eukaryota; Metazoa; Chordata; Mammalia; Rodentia; Sciuridae.